UGGUUUUAUCAGUGUAUGUGUGUGGUGUAUCACAACAAACAAAAAGCCUAAACAUAUUUUCUAGAUGUAUGAGUACAUUACUGACCUUUCCAUGCCUCAGACUUUUCAUCUAGAAAGGGGCUUCUAAAAAGCACAUAACUCAAAGGAUCAUUAAGCAAAGCACAUACAGUGGUAUGUCAGUAAUUGUUAUCUAGGUCGUUGAUAUCUCCUUAAUAUUUUUAGGAAAGCAUUGGCUAUUUAUAUUGUCUAUUGAAUUGUCCACUUGGAUUAAUUAAAUAUUUUUAUUUCAAAAGGUGGAAACCCAACUCUCAUGAUCUCCAUCCCAAACCUCCUGGAAAACGGGAUCAGUAGCAUCUUUAAUUUUUCUGGAUGUGCUACUGCAUAGAUUCUUCGGAGCCCAUCAGAGGAAUGUUAUCACUAACGAGAAAGGGAGUUACUUCAAACACAACGAGGAAAUUUCCUAUAUACAUACAAACAAUGGAAGCAAUGACAUAAAAUCCAUCCUAAAUCAGAUCCAUAUUCGUGAAUUUGGAUUUGAAGCCAAGCUGGCACAGUAGGAUUGAAUUUGACUAAAAAUUUACCACAGAUAUCACAGCCAGGUGAGGAGCAAUGAUCUAAAUACCAACACUACAGUGUGGAGCCCUGUGAUAAAGUGGAUCAGACCUACCAAAUCAGUAAGUACCAUCAUGCACAUAAAAACAUAGCCUUACUCCUGUGCCUGGGUAGUAUAGUCAGUUAAGCAUCCGACUCUUGGUUUUGGCUUAGGUCGUGAUUUCAGGGUCGUUUGAUGGAGGCCCGUGCUGGGUUCUGCACUGAGCAUGAAGCCUGCUUGAGACUCUCCCUGUCUUUCCUUCUGCCCCUCCCGCUUGUGCUAUCUCUC
Molecule: long non-coding RNA, 880 nt
Filed under: Vulpes vulpes (red fox)
Lineage: Eukaryota; Metazoa; Chordata; Mammalia; Carnivora; Canidae
Description: lncRNA (ENSVVUG00000007107.1)
Source: RNAcentral